Molecule: ribosomal RNA, 448 nt
Filed under: uncultured bacterium
Lineage: Bacteria
Description: bacterial SSU rRNA
Rfam family: Bacterial small subunit ribosomal RNA
Source: RNAcentral
GGCCAGACUCCUACGGGAGGCAGCAGUGGGGAAUAUUGCACAAUGGGCGCAAGCCUGAUGCAGCGACGCCGCGUGAGCGAAGAAGUAUUUCGGUAUGUAAAGCUCUAUCAGCAGGGAAGAAAAUGACGGUACCUGACUAAGAAGCCCCGGCUAACUACGUGCCAGCAGCCGCGGUAAUACGUAGGGGGCAAGCGUUAUCCGGAUUCACUGGGUGUAAAGGGAGCGUAGACGGCCAUGCAAGCCUGGAGUGAAAGCCCGGGGCCCAACCCCGGGACUGCUCUGGGAACUGUGCGGCUGGAGUGCGGGAGGGGCAGGCGGAAUUCCUGGUGUAGCGGUGAAAUGCGUAGAUAUCAGGAGGAACACCGGUGGCGAAGGCGGCCUGCUGGACUGCAACUGACGUUGAGGCCCGAAAGCGUGGGGAGCAAACAGGAUUAGAUACCCUUGUAGA